UGGGGAAUAUUGCACAAUGGGCGCAAGCCUGAUGCAGCCAUGCCGCGUGUGUGAAGAAGGCCUUCGGGUUGUAAAGCACUUUCAGCGAGGAGGAAGGUGGUGAACUUAAUACGUUCAUCAAUUGACGUUACUCGCAGAAGAAGCACCGGCUAACUCCGUGCCAGCAGCCGCGGUAAUACGGAGGGUGCAAGCGUUAAUCGGAAUUACUGGGCGUAAAAGCGCACGCAAGGCGGUUUGUUAAGUCAGAUGUGAAAAUCCCCGGGCUCAACCUGGGAACUGCAUUUGAAACUGGCAAGCUAGAGUCUCGUAGAGGGGGGUAGAAUUCCAGGUGUAGCGGUGAAAUGCGUAGAGAUCUGGAGGAAUACCGGUGGCGAAGGCGGCCCCCUGGACGAAGACUGACGCUCAGGUGCGAAAGCGUGGGGAGCAAAACAGGAUUAGAUACCCUGGUAGUCCACGCUGUAAAACGAUGUCGAUUUUGGAGGUUGUGCCCUUGAGGCGUGGCUUCCGGAGCUAACGC
RNAcentral lists this ribosomal RNA (517 nucleotides) under uncultured bacterium. RNAcentral's name for it is "partial 16S ribosomal RNA". It matches the Rfam family "Bacterial small subunit ribosomal RNA", at positions 355 to 858 of the family's 1533-position model. The record is from RNAcentral.